CGUGUAGGCGGCUUGGUAAGUCAGAUGUGAAAGCCCAGGGCUCAACCCUGGAAGUGCAUUUGAUACUGCCAUGCUUGAGUAUGGGAGAGGAGAGCGGAAUUCCCAGUGUAGAGGUGAAAUUCGUAGAUAUUGGGAGGAACACCCGUGACGAAGGCGGCUCUCUGGACCAAUACUGACGCUGAGACGCGAAAGCGUGGGGAGCAAACAGGAUUAGAUACCCUGGUAGUCC
Molecule: ribosomal RNA, 229 nt
Filed under: uncultured bacterium
Lineage: Bacteria
Description: partial 16S ribosomal RNA
Rfam family: Bacterial small subunit ribosomal RNA
Source: RNAcentral